Molecule: long non-coding RNA, 590 nt
Organism: Salvia splendens (bonfire salvia)
Lineage: Eukaryota; Viridiplantae; Streptophyta; Magnoliopsida; Lamiales; Lamiaceae
Exons: 2
Source: RefSeq, a predicted model, not a curated record
UGAAGGGAAUUCUUCCCUGAGAGAUAGCAAUGACAAGGCGAAGGAUAAAUGAUUUCAGGAAGAGAUUCUUGGUUUUAAGAGGCCGAGUCUGCACCAGCGGUGGGAGGGCUUCGUCGGCGAGGGAUCGGAGGAGAAGAAGGCGUUGUUCAGCUUGCGGAGAUCGUCUAUAAUCGGACGGUCGAGCAUGACGGUAGAGGUGUACACCAACCCCGCCGAGGAGUACCAGAUUGAAGGCUCCUUAGCGUGCCGAAACUGCAACAUUCUGGCCGCGGAUAAGGAGAUCGUGGCUGAGAUCCGGCGCAAGGUGGACGGUGUUGAGCUUGGUUUGUGUUAGUGCAUAACGGGCAUAAAGGGGCGGUGUUGAGCUUGGUUUGUGUUAGUGACGGAUUAGUGACCCGGUAAUUAAAAUCGUCAAAAAUUUGACGGAACCGUCCAAAAAGGACCAAAUGUGACCCGUUUUCAAAUGUGAGGGACUGAAUAAUUCAAAAGAUAAUGUUUUGGUCCAAAAUAAAAAAAUCACAAUAUAUUAAGGACCAUUUUGGUACUUUAGUCUAAUAUAUAUUAUCACUAACUUUGCAUUUUGUUUGGUA